AUCUUCUUCCUCAAACUAACAUUUUUCAUUUUUCACUUCUCAACCUCAAGCUUCAAUCUCAUCCAUCAUUAAUCAUCUAGAUCAUCUCAUAAACUCAAAUCCAUCAUCUUAUAACUCAAGCCAAGUCAAGAAAAUAAACAACAAAAUUCGUAGGGUUUCAAGCUCCUAAUUUUUGAAAGUUUCAUAAAAAUAAGUUGGGUGACUUUCUUGCUCAAUCAUGAUCAUAUACUCAC
RNAcentral lists this long non-coding RNA (233 nucleotides) under Salvia miltiorrhiza (redroot sage). Its description in RNAcentral is "long non-coding RNA (SMIL_LNC009722)". The record is from RNAcentral. Lineage: Eukaryota; Viridiplantae; Streptophyta; Magnoliopsida; Lamiales; Lamiaceae.